GUAGGGUGCAAGCGUUACCCGGAUUUACUGGGGCGUAAAGGGUUCGUAGGCUUUCUAGUAAGUUAUGUCUCAAAGACCGGGGGCUCAACCUCGGGAAUCGGGGCGUAAUACUGCUAGAAUAGGAGAAUUCAGGGGCUACUGGAACUGUCGGUGUAGGGGUGAAAUCCGUUGAUAUCGACAGGAACUCCAAGAGCGAAGGCAGGUAGCUGGGAAUUAUUCGACGCUGAGGAACGAAAGCUAGGGGAGCAAAAGGGAUUAGAGACCCCUGUAGUCCUAGCCGUAAACGAUGCUCGCUAGCUCUCUGUGCCGAUUUUAUUGGCAUGGUGAGCGUAAGCUAACGCGUGAAGCGAGCCGCCUGGGGAGUACGUGCGCAAAGCAUA
RNAcentral lists this ribosomal RNA (380 nucleotides) under uncultured organism. RNAcentral describes it as "partial 16S ribosomal RNA". It matches the Rfam family "Bacterial small subunit ribosomal RNA", at positions 527 to 896 of the family's 1533-position model. The record is from RNAcentral.